GAAACAUUUGCCAUCGCGCUGCGGGCAAGUCGACACCUUGUGCUCACCACCACAAAUAACACAUCGAGGUGGUCUCCAAUUCCUCGACUGCUGUCGGGGAUACCGAGGGGGUUUCUUAGCAUUUGGCCGGCCCCCGGCACCGCCCGCCGCUCUCUUCUUGCCUUUGUCCUUAGACUCGGCCAUAACUUCUCUUUCUUCACGUACAUGGGCGCUACCGUGCUCCGCCCACAAAGCUCUAUCAAAGACCUCCGCAAAGGUCGAC
Molecule: long non-coding RNA, 262 nt
Filed under: Ananas comosus (pineapple)
Lineage: Eukaryota; Viridiplantae; Streptophyta; Magnoliopsida; Poales; Bromeliaceae
Description: long non-coding RNA (ACOM_LNC043372)
Source: RNAcentral